RNAcentral lists this ribosomal RNA (444 nucleotides) under uncultured bacterium. Its description in RNAcentral is "bacterial SSU rRNA". It matches the Rfam family "Bacterial small subunit ribosomal RNA", at positions 55 to 527 of the family's 1533-position model. The record is from RNAcentral.
AUGCAAGUCGACGGUGUAGAGACGUAGCAUUGCUACGUCUCUACAUAGUGGCGGACGGGUGAGUAACACGUGAGAAUCUGCCUUCAGGACGGGGACAACAGUGGGAAACCACUGCUAAUACCGGAUAAGCCGAAAGGUGAAAAAUUUAUUGCCAGAAGAGGAGCUCGCGUCUGAUUAGCUAGAUGGGGAGGUAAAAGCUCACCAUGGCGACGAUCAGUAGCUGGUCUGAGAGGAUGAGCAGCCACACUGGGACUGAGACACGGCCCAGACUCCUACGGGAGGCAGCAGUGGGGAAUUUUCCGCAAUGGGCGCAAGCCUGACGGAGCAAUACCGCGUGAGGGAGGAAGGCUUUUGGGUUGUAAACCUCAAAAAUUAGGGAAGAAGAAAGUGACGGUACCUAAUCUAAGCAUCGGCUAACUCCGUGCCAGCAGCCGCGGUAAUACG